UUGUGCGGGGUGGUACACACUGAACACUGGCGGCGAAGGGAAAUGCAAGAAGCAAAAAGAGAUGGGGAGAGAGCAACGUGGGAGGGUUGGAACUGUACUAUCAGAGUUUGCGAUAUGGCAGGAUCUCCUUUCCUCCUAAAUCGUUCUGCUUCCGAAAAACUCAUUUCCUUUGCCAUCACUGCCUCAUCUAUGCCUCGUUUCUUGGUAGCAUUAAACUCUGUCCGUUUAGAAAACAGAACAAGUUAUCGAGAAAAUUGACAGCAACGGGAGUUUAGAACGUGGCAACCAGCAAGAGAAUAAGGCAGGAAUUAGCACCAUGGACAGAGUCUAGCCGACUCUGAACAGAGGUUUGCGAAGCCUGGUAGUGUUUUCUGUCCCUCCCUGGAGACGUGGAAACUGCUAUUCUUGGGAACAUUUCGUGACACAGACUUUAAGGACGAGGCUGUCCUACUCCAAAGAAACACGUUUACUUUGAAUUAGGCUGACUUUUGCUAGGACCCGGCCGUCGUGGCAAACCACCAGGAGGGUAAGAGCCCCGAACUCGCUGCUCACCCUCCACUGGCCUUUUUUUUCCAUCGGCUCCUUUGCCCUGGUGAGACUGCCUGCCAUCAAAAGUGGUCAGGCAAAAUAAAUGCAAACCCAGGUAGUCAUUCCAAAAGUCUACUGAAGCUACUCCAGAGUUUGUAAUCCUCAAAAUUCCCAGCGAGAAUUGCAACUAAAACACCUACCCGCUCACCCUUGCUCCCCUCCCCCAAUUCUUCCUGGUUCCCACCACCUCCUGGCAAAGGGGCAAAGCCUUUUAUCUGAAGGUUGGGUGACCUCCGAGACUAUUUUGUAAAAGACCCUUUAUAUUGCAAACAUUUUCCAUUAGGGACAGUGCCAGGGGCGGUGAUAAGAAGGAUCAAUCCCAUACUUGACUUUGUCUUUACACUUUGUCUUUAAGCUCCUGUUUGAGGGAAGAGACUAAAAAGAGCAGACUCAGAGAAUUCCCCUGAAGGUUGAAGUUGCUGUUUACAAUUAAAGACACGUGAAUUGUGUAUUUAAAUAUUUUUUUUAAAUAAUCUAAUUUCCUGGUAAAUCUUUAUGACCAGAGUAGAUUGUCUCCCACUCUUCUACCCCACCUCCUCACACAUUUUUCUUUUCUGGCAAAAUUUGUAUGAGGUUCAUUCUCCUUAAGAUUUUUUGACUGCAGAUACUCAGACUAAAAUCUGUUGCACGUGCCCCAUAGUGUCUCAGAAAAUAUAUUUGCAGCUUUGGAUCCACAGUCAAUUUUGUAAGCGCUCCUAAAAAACAUCCUCAGAUUUCUUUUCCUCCCCUCUUUAACUCCGUAGCAACUUUUAGACAGAUAAACUCAAGUCCUUCAGAGCAUGCAAAUGGAGGUGUAGCCGACCAGGUAAGCUAAGAAAAACUGGAGGUGAGAAAGGGCAAAUAAGAGCUUUGUGUCCCUUCCUUUCAGGGAUGCUAACAGCCUUCUCUAAGCUUCCCCCUGGAGCCCACACAUCUCAUGUAAAAUUAAUACAAGUAAUUAAAAAUAGCAGUUUCCAAAGUUAAAGGAAACCAUCUGUCUCAGCUGGUGGCAAUCAGUCAUUUCGCUGGCCCCUUUACCCGGACCUGGAAAGAAAUGGGUUUUUUGCUUCCGAUGCUCGGAGGCUCUUUCUUAUAUUGAAGAUUUAUGUUUCCACUUGUGUGCGAUGCACGUCUAAUUUGAAAUAAUAAAGCCGAGCUGAGCAACCAGUCAAUCAGAGCUAUCAACUGCGCUCGGCAAGCAGCCCUGCCCCUGACUCCCUCCGGUCUCUAACCUUUCCCUCCUGCCCCUCUCCUUUCUCCCCCCUCUUGUGCCCUUUCACACACUAAAAUCCCUUCCCCCAACACACACACGCUGGCGUUUUUUUAGAUCAAACCCUUGCCCACAGAACAAGUGACCGCACCGGGGCACGAUGACAAAGGCGGAGUUUGUAUCAGAAGAAGACUGAGGCCCGGGGAGACACAGCGGCUAGAGAAACAGCUGUCUUAUCAGCCCGCUGCAGAGAUGAAGAUGGCUCGAGAGGUCCUCAACAGAUAAUCACUUGAAUAGGUUUGCAAGGCGCCAAACUUCACGCUUGAUAAGGCCAACCCAAUGUAGAGAGCAGCCCAGAUCCUGCUCCAUUCUGUUUUAUCUGGGCUGUAAAUUAAGAAAUUGAAAUUCAGGUGGCAGAGGCAGCAGUCUGCUGAUAGACCGCUAAAGUAAACUGUCAUUAAAAUGCUUUCGGUUGGCAGAGAGGGGGCGCCUGGAAUGGGAUGUUUUGUUUUGGCUUGUUUUGCUUUUUAAAUGGGAGUGGAGCGGUGAGAGAAAAAGCCCACGGGUUUUCAAAAUUACUGGGGGGAGGGGGGGGGGGACUUGAGGAAGUGUAGCAAAGGGACGCAACGUUUUUGGCCACGGUUUCUAAUCAUAGCUACGAGGCACAAACAAUUUGAAAAGUAUAAAGUUGUGUGAAGUUUGGUGUAAUCAAGAUUAAGGAACAAUUUAAACCAAUUUGAUAGAAAAUAGAAUCCUGUCUUUAUUUAAGGAUGGGCCAUAGGAAACUCUUGGGCUACAGUAUUAGAGACCAAUUCCAAAUGAACUUUAAAAUUUUCCCUUUGUUGUAAGAAAAUCAGAUCAACCAGAUACAGAGGAGUUACCAUCAACUUAAGGUUAACUUGACAUUUUGUUGAAGUUAUGGAGCCACCAGAGAAAUUUCAGGGUGAUUUUAGAAUGGCCUAAGUUGUUAACCACAGAAAAGAAUCUGCUUAGCUACUUACAGGAAUAAGAGUCAUAUAUCACCCCUCCCCUUUACCCAGGUAAUUACUAUGGGCUAAUUCAGGAAACAAAAAAUUCCACAUAUUUUGACACUACCUGGUUCUUACAGCACAGUGUAUAUGGCACUAUUCUGUUGGUUUUUAUGAAUAUAAGGCAUGAAAUUCUAUGCAUUAUUUGAAUAAAUGUUUCACAAAAAGCUUUAAAUGUACAAUCAUCAGAGUAUAGCCAGUGACCUUCUUGUUUCGAUUCACUAAUGACUUUGCACUGUACUUUGUUCUUUCUAUAGUUGAGUAGAUUGUAAAUUCACCAAUGUGCAUUUAUGAGUGCAUAAGUAUGAGAGGAUGCAUUCCAUUUUCCACAACAUCAUUUAUAUUUUAAGUUUUAGCAACAUUUCUAAAAAGGUACCUUCAGUUGAUAACACAUAGUAAUACACCUUUAGAAAAUCAAUCAGUUUUUACUUUGUUUAACCCCAAAAUGUUGAUCAACAUCAGAGUACAUUUAAUUGACAAUAUAAAGACUGCUCAAAACACAGUGGGAUGAGAAAGAAUUAAAAGUGAAUUGUAAGGAAAAGUGAUGAGAAAAAAAUGUAAGAUGCUAGUCUAUGUUCCAACAUUUAUUAAACUAUAGUGCUCCAU
Long non-coding RNA from Phyllostomus discolor (pale spear-nosed bat), 3411 nucleotides. RefSeq lists it as uncharacterized. The transcript has 2 exons. The record is from RefSeq and is a predicted model, not a curated record. Lineage: Eukaryota; Metazoa; Chordata; Mammalia; Chiroptera; Phyllostomidae.